GUGGGGAAUCUUGCGCAAUGGGCGAAAGCCUGACGCAGCCAUGCCGCGUGAAUGAUGAAGGUCUUAGGAUUGUAAAAUUCUUUCACCGGGGACGAUAAUGACGGUACCCGGAGAAGAAGCUCCGGCUAACUUCGUGCCAGCAGCCGCGGUAAUACGAAGGGGGCUAGCGUUGCUCGGAAUUACUGGGCGUAAAGGGCGCGUAGGCGGACAGCUUAGUCAGAGGUGAAAGCCCAGGGCUCAACCUUGGAAUUGCCUUUGAUACUGACUGUCUUGAGUUUGGGAGAGGUGAGUGGAACUCCGAGUGUAGAGGUGAAAUUCGUAGAUAUUCGGAAGAACACCAGUGGCGAAGGCGACUCACUGGCCCAAUACUGACGCUGAGGCGCGAAAGCGUGGGGAGCAAACAGGAUUAGAAACCCUGGUUCC
This 423-nucleotide ribosomal RNA is filed under the name uncultured bacterium. RNAcentral's name for it is "partial 16S ribosomal RNA". It matches the Rfam family "Bacterial small subunit ribosomal RNA", at positions 354 to 794 of the family's 1533-position model. The record is from RNAcentral.